AUUGAACGCUGGCGGAAUGCUUUACACAUGCAAGUCGAACGGCAGCACGGGGGCAACCCUGGUGGCGAGUGGCGAACGGGUGGGUAAUACAUCGGAACGUGCCCAGUCGUGGGGGAUAACGUAGCGAAAGCUACGCUAAUACCGCAUACGAUCUACGGAUGAAAGCGGGGGAUCGCAAGACCUCGCGCGAUUGGAGCGGCCGAUGGCAGAUUAGGUAGUUGGUGGGGUAAAGGCUCACCAAGCCGACGAUCUGUAGCUGGUCUGAGAGGACGACCAGCCACACUGGGACUGAGACACGGCCCAGACUCCUACGGGAGGCAGCAGUGGGGAAUUUUGGACAAUGGGGGGCAACCCUGAUCCAGCCAUGCCGCGUGAGUGAAGAAGGCCUCGGUUGUAAG
This 398-nucleotide ribosomal RNA is filed under the name uncultured bacterium. RNAcentral's name for it is "bacterial SSU rRNA". It matches the Rfam family "Bacterial small subunit ribosomal RNA", at positions 29 to 429 of the family's 1533-position model. The record is from RNAcentral.